GAACUAGUAUGCAAGUCAUUACUACUUUGACGUUAGAGGGUGAAGAUCGCCUCUUUGGAACAUCUAUACUCAUGGCUUCCUCACAUCUGGUUCGCAGCCGGGACAGGUUUCGAAAAUAAAAAAAUGCAGGUGAGUUUUUGCCGCUUCCGCUCCAGAUUUGUGUGUGGGUAGGAGGCCACUAUAUCUUGUAUUGUAAACCACAGCCGAAGCCUAAGAACCUUUAACCGGGCGUACAUAGCAUUUCUCAGAAACAAGCAAACAAUAUAGUGAACAUCACCUUUACACUACCAUCCUCCGGAAAUUGCUUGAGAAUAUUUUUUCCAUGCUAUAUUCAAAAUGUUGCAGAAAACCCCGAAGAGACUUCAAAAGUCUCAAAAGGGCAUAGUCUGAAAUGUUUAGCUUUCCAUCCAUAUUCAGCUGCCAACAAUGUAUGAAAUACUUAAUUUGACACCAGAAAAUAAAAUAAAUGAGGAUUAGGAAUAUUUGAUAAUUGUUAAAACGAGGGAGUAACCGAUCUAAUUCAAUUUUCAAAAUUAUGCAUUCGACUAAACAGAUAUUGUUGAAUAUCCUGUCCAUGUUACACAAUUCUUAACUCCGGACAUUAUAUUUUGCCAUUGUAAAGUACAUCAUGGCACAAACAUGUUGCCGGAAACAUUUUUUUCUGGCAAAUAUAGUUACAGUAGUUUGUAAUUGCGUUAUCGGAGUUAUUUGCUAUGAUACACUGCUGUCUGUGAGUUACUAUUUUCGAAACGCUGCAUCUAAUCUUAAGUUUAAGAAGGAGUUCAUAAACAUCCCAUUAAAUUGCAUCUCAGGUACUGUAUGUCACCGCUAAAUACCUUAGGUAUAAGUCUGACAUUAGGAUUCCACAGUUAAUUUAUAAAUCCUUAAACCACAUUUUAAAAUGUAUUAAUCCUUAAAAAUUAAAAAUGUUUUGUCACUAUACUGUACAUCUGUACCUAAAAUCAAACUAUGGGAUUAAAGACUUUAAAUACUUGGA
Lepisosteus oculatus (spotted gar) is the source of this 997-nucleotide long non-coding RNA. RefSeq lists it as uncharacterized. The record is from RefSeq and is a predicted model, not a curated record. NCBI's taxonomy places the organism in Eukaryota, Metazoa, Chordata, Actinopteri, Semionotiformes, Lepisosteidae.